RNAcentral lists this long non-coding RNA (3423 nucleotides) under Homo sapiens (human). RNAcentral's name for it is "long independently transcribed non-coding RNA, p53 induced transcript, transcript variant 13 (LINC-PINT)". The record is from RNAcentral. Lineage: Eukaryota; Metazoa; Chordata; Mammalia; Primates; Hominidae.
AGGGGAUCCUUGGCCCCACUGUGCACCACACACUCCUUUCCCAGCCCAGGGGCACGCGAACAAAAUGAGGCUCAAGCUGACCAGGCCGAGCCGGAGGAACGCUGGGGCUUGGCAGCAGAAGGGAUGGGACCAGAGAGAAGGGUGUGGAGGAGACCCCAGUGAGGGCCAGGACAUUUCAGGUAAAGAGAGGUCAUAUCUCCGUACCUCACUUCCUGACACAAACAAGUUUUCACUGUUGUCAGCAACAAAGCCCUAAUAUAGCUGCGGAAGAGAAAAACUGCAUUGCAUUUUGCCUCCUGCAAGCAUCAUCAACAGUUACUGGAGGAACGUAAUUCCAGAAAGCUUGAAAGCCGUGGUGAUGGUAAUUAUGUAUCAAAUGCCUGGUUCUAUUUCUGUUAUUAUUGUUUUGUCAUUUCUGUUUUCCCAGCGAUCUGACUGAACUCGCAGAGGGACAAAUCCAGUUUUUCUUUUUGACUUUUGUCAAACUAAAUCAGGCCUGAUAGAAAACUCAUUGCUCUCCGGGGAAACAAAGUAGGAGCCACGAAAUGUCAUUUUAACAGAGCGUGGGUUUGGUGACUGUAGGAAAGGAUUUGAGGACGCUCCUUCUGUUCGGCUUCCUAUGUCAUGAGCACAGGCUCCACGCACGCACAGACACCACGGCUCCCGGAUGCUGUGGCUCCCCGAUCGGGGCUCCUGCAGCGCCAGAAGCCCCUCCGGGAUGCUUCGAGGGGCUCCCGGUGGGUGGAGGUACGGACGCCGCUGCGGCCGCCGCCGCCAGUCCUGCUGCUGUUGUUGCUGCUGCAGUCACGUGGGAGCCCCUUUAAGUUUCCAUAGAGAGGCCUCUCUGGUGUCACAUGAUGGACAUGAUAUAAUGAAACAACAUUGUGGAGAGGAAAGCAUUAGGGGAGCCCACGGCUACAAAAACAAGUGAGUGAGAAGAGGUGGGAGGAAGAGAAACUACGCCACCUCCCCUGCAGCCGAGUGCACGCAGCAGCCUGGCGUGACAAGUGGGCGACGCCGGGGGGCAGGGAGCCGGGGUCCUUGGCCCUGGCCGGGGACCCCACCGCCCACCGCGCGGAGGACAACUUUUAGCCGGCAGCCCAGACCAGCGCGGCACCUGUCUCCGGAGUCUCCACCGCUCCUCCCGAUUCAUCCCAGGGAAAUUCUCAAGAAUACGCUCUACAAAUCUACGUGCGCAUCAUUUUCACCUCGCGUCGCGCCCGGGAGGAAGGAACGAGGCAAGGAGCUAAAGCAGCGUGCGUUCAGCCCUGGGGCAUUUUAUUAAUGCUUUUACGAGUUAGAAGAGUUGGGAUAAUUUGCCAUCUGGAGUUUCUCUGCCUUGCUGAUCUGAGCUCAGACCUGCCAAUUUACCAGAGAUAAUUGAUAACACCCUGUAACAGCUGAGAGGAAAAUGGAAGAAACGGAGAUACUUUUAGUGAAGCAGAAUAAACCACUGAACAGCGUUGGCUGAAAAACAUAAGGGAAAAAUGAGGAAGCUGUGAGUACCAGUGGAAGGAACGAGCCAGGAAGAGGGACUGGAACCAUCUCAGAAGCCAUGCCCCUCAGGCUGGAACUUGCCCUGUCUCCUCGCAGAUGAGGUGCAGGUCUUCUGAACAAAUGCCUCCUGAGGAUUUCUGUGCCUGGAAAAUAUCUGUUAACAGACUGCUUUUACACCUACCUAUUUGGUGCUACUUCUACUCCUCAUGACCAAAGCUGGCUUUCAUGGUUUACUCAUGUACUUACUGAUGAAACCCUGAGACUUGGGGCCAGUGACUGUUCAGAGGUCCAUGUGAAGAUGCGCUGAAUGGUAUAAAGGACAGAGCAGUAAAGAGUGCUGGCUGAAUGCCUGGGCUGGCAAUCAGGCAUGUUGGAGUUUGAGUCCCAGUCUGCCACUCCAGCUCUGUGACCAAGAGGAAGUGAAGUCAUGUACCCUUUCUAAGUCUCUAGCCCCUCUUCUGAAAGACGAAGAUGCCACCACCAACCAUGUUAGUGGUUGUGAAUGCCAAGAAAGUCCAUGUGAAGCACAUAGCAUAGUGUCUGCCAUGCGUUAAGUGUUCCAAAAAUGGAAGCUAUGACUAUUUCACAGAGUACACUUCCCAUCACUUUUCAGUUCAUUUUGGCCUUCUCCCUCAAAAGCACUCCAGUGUUCUGAUCCAGCUGAUAAAACACCAAACAUUCACAUAGUGCUUUAAAAGUGACCCACUGUUUUUACAGACUGCAUUACAUAUGACCCUAACAACCACUGCAAUAUAGAAAUUCGCAUCUCCAUUCUCCAGAUCAGGAUACCGAAGCUCAGAAAAAUUAAAUGAUUUGCCCAGGAUCACAUAGUUAGUAAGCAGCCCAGCCAGAUCCUGUGUUAACUUGUUCAUCCGCUUCCUAUAAGAAAACAUCCAUUCAAGGCACAUGGGGCAACAAAGAAGGACUUAGAGCUGUGUGGCCCCUCGUCAGGGCAGUACCAGUUGCACCCAUAGUCCGGCCUGAAUACUCAGCUUAGGACUAUUGUGUCCAAUGUCCCAAACAUUUUGAAGCUACAUCUUAAAGAAGUGUCCUGCUCAGAUGCAGUUCUCCUUGUGAAAUCCGCAGGCCCCAAGGAAAGUGACUUUAAUCCAGUUUGCUCAUGCAAGAACAGACUGGCAUUUCACAUCCAGGAAAACAAUGGAUUUGUACUGUUCAGCUUUUGCCAUGCAAGGAGUUCCUGGUGUGGUUUAUUAAUUUACAUCUCAGGCUCCAGCUUCACUAUCAAUCAGAUUUGGAAGAAAAAAGUUACAAAGAAAGGCAGCUUGCUGAGAAACAGCGGAAGCAUGACGGUACAGACUGGGUUUUGAAAUGGAGACACAUUCUCAUGGCUUGUGGGCUGAGAGACACUGAGAAAGGAUUUUGUUCUUGAAAGAUGAUUGUUUUAAUGCUGGAGAUGGAGAGUUUUGACAAUUUUAAGUGCAUGUUCUGUGUGUAAGAAAGAGUCAUUACGUUUUUUUUUUCUUUCAGAUGUUGCCAUGCCUUAAAAUUGCUGAUGAUUAAAAUAGAACAUCCUGAGUUACAGAAAUUCAGCCCUAGUGUAUCCUGGCCUAAAAAUACAGAACAAUCAAGUUGAUUGUUGGAAAUGAGAGGCUAGGCAGGGUUGGAAACAUGCUAAUGUUUACUGAGUGAAAUCUUUCCUUCUCAGUAGAGUUGCCCUUGCAGCUGAAAGUCACUGAAAGACUCAACAAAAUAAGCAGAUCCCACUUGUCUCACUCUGUUCUCCUAUGCAUGCCCUGGAAAGAGAAUGAAUGAGCCCUUUUUAAUUUAUCAACUGGUUUUCUUCCAUCUCUUUACUAGUGAGCCAUGGGGGUUUUUUGCCGUUAACUGGGUAGCCAGUCUCUUCAUGGAGACUUAUUUUCAGGAAACUAGCCUCUUGCUUUAUGUGAAAACAAGGACCCAACUCAA